Molecule: ribosomal RNA, 253 nt
Filed under: uncultured bacterium
Lineage: Bacteria
Description: partial 16S ribosomal RNA
Rfam family: Bacterial small subunit ribosomal RNA
Source: RNAcentral
UACGAGUGGUGCGAACGUUAUCCGGAAUUACUGGGCGUAAAGGGCGCGUAGGCGGAGAGAUGUGUGUGAUGUGAGAGCCCCGGGCUUAACCUGGGAAGAGCAUCGCAAACUGUCUGACUAGAGUAUAUGAGAGGGUGGUGGAGUUUCCGGUGUAGCGGUGAAAUGCGUAGAGAUCGGAAGGAACGUCGAUGGCGAAGGCAGCCACCUGGCAUAAUACUGACGCUGAGGCGCGAGAGCGUGGGGAGCGAACAGG